GUGAGGAAUAUUGGGCAAUGGAGGCAACUCUGACCCAGCCAUGCCGCGUGAGUGAGAAGGUUUUCGAAUUGUAAAGCUCUUUCAGGUGUGAAGAUGAUGACGGUAACACCAGAAGAAGCCCCGGCAAACUUCGUGCCAGCAGCCGCGGUAAUACGAAGGGGGCGAGCGUUGUUCGGAAUUACUGGGCGUAAAGGGUGUGUAGGCGGUUUAGUAAGAUAGUGGUGAAAUGCCGGAGCUCAACUUCGGAAUUGCCAUUAUGACUAUUAAGCUAGAAUGAUGUAGAGGAUAGCGGAAUACCCAGUGUAGAGGUGAAAUUCGUAGAUAUUGGGUAGAACACCAGAGGCGAAGGCGGCUAUCUGGGCAUUUAUUGACGCUGAGGCACGAAAGCAUGGGGAUCAAACAGGA
RNAcentral lists this ribosomal RNA (405 nucleotides) under uncultured bacterium. RNAcentral describes it as "bacterial SSU rRNA". It matches the Rfam family "Bacterial small subunit ribosomal RNA", at positions 354 to 777 of the family's 1533-position model. The record is from RNAcentral.